Long non-coding RNA from Neomonachus schauinslandi (Hawaiian monk seal), 100 nucleotides. RefSeq lists it as uncharacterized. The record is from RefSeq and is a predicted model, not a curated record. The transcript is spliced from 3 exons. NCBI's taxonomy places the organism in Eukaryota, Metazoa, Chordata, Mammalia, Carnivora, Phocidae.
CCAGGCUCGGUUGUAGCGUUGGCAGCCACCGACCCCAUUGAUGCCUGCUGAGUUGCCACACCAGAUGCUUUUUCCUCGAUUUGUGUCGUCUCGAGUUCUG